UACGUAGGGUGCAAGCGUUGUCCGGAAUUAUUGGGCGUAAAGAGCUCGUAGGCGGUCUGUCGCGUCGGCUGUGAAAACCCGAGGCUCAACCUUGGGCCUGCAGUCGAUACGGGCAAACUAGAGUACUGCAGGGGAGACUGGAAUUCCUGGUGUAGCGGUGAAAUGCGCAGAUAUCAGGAGGAACACCGGUGGCGAAGGCGGGUCUCUGGGCCGUAACUGACGCUGAGGAGCGAAAGCGUGGGGAGCGAACAGG
Molecule: ribosomal RNA, 253 nt
Filed under: uncultured bacterium
Lineage: Bacteria
Description: partial 16S ribosomal RNA
Rfam family: Bacterial small subunit ribosomal RNA
Source: RNAcentral